GGUCCGAUGGUGUAGUUGGUUAUCACUUCUGUCUAACACGAGUUCCUCUCACGGUCGCGUGCCACACAGGCGGUCCUCAGUUCGAACCUGGGUCGGAUCA
Molecule: non-coding RNA, 100 nt
Organism: Mycena haematopus
Lineage: Eukaryota; Fungi; Basidiomycota; Agaricomycetes; Agaricales; Mycenaceae
Source: the annotation of a GenBank genome assembly